CAACUCUGGACUCCUUCCCACCAUAAACCACACAGCUCCCCAUGGCACUGUUAAGUGUUACUGACUGAAUAGACCUCUGCAUGGACACUGGAAGGGACUCCCUCCUGGGUUAGUGCUGGAUGGCUCCUUAUACUAUACCCAUCACCAUGAUAUCCAGUGCCAAAUCCCUCUGGGAGAAAACAUCCACCACUGAAAUGCAGCCACCUCUGGAGUGGAGCAUGGCAGCAGUUUUAUCGGGCAUGCCAAGACUACACAAGAGUUUAGGACAGAAGUAAAGAGCACUGUACCCAACUGAAUCUGCAGCUCACACUCCACGCUGCUGCUUUGAACCGGAGAUGAAGAAAGAGUCCGAAAGAUUCAAUCUCAGAAGGCCCACAGCCCAUCUGAAUGGAGAAACGUGGCUCUCCAAUCUGGAGAAUGGCCAGACUGCAGCUCUCAUGGAUUCCCCGAGUGAGGGCUCAUCCCACAUAGACCCUGCCCCUGGCUCCUGCAGCUUCCCCCUACAGCUUUGUAGGGUAAGAGCUAGGGGCCCUUAUGUUCUGCAGACUUGCCUAUCCAUGGGCUAUUUCCUGGCAUUGCAUUGGGAGCAUCUCCAGAACUUAACAGCUCCAUCUUACCAGUUCUUGCCCAUCAGCUUUUCGGCUGCAGGAAAUCAAAGGGGGGGGAAGGGAGAGAAUACCACUGCCCACACCUGGGAGGUAUGGGUGGGCUGUGACAGGAAAGCCUCUUUCCCUGCAAUCCACAUCAGAAGUGUGGGGACACUUGUGGAGUCAGGUGGAGGGAAGAGUUCAGAGCCACCAAACCCACUGCAAAAGCCACACAGCUACCGGCAGCUUUUUACUCCAUGAUUUACUACGACUGCGUGCUGCUCCUUCCCAGAGCAGGCGGAAUCUGUCUGCACACAAAGCGAACUGCCUCUGGAAUGCGGCUGCUGCCACGCUAAGAAUGGGGCUCCCUGAGGAGCCGGCUUUGCUGAGUUAUGCCAAGCCAGCUGCACUGAGAAGCUACAGCCGGGAAAGUAAUUUCCCAGGUGGCUUUACAGUGCAGUGGAGAUCAGGGUGCCUGCAUCACACCGUUGUUACAAGGCCCUAAUGGAGAGAUUUACAGGAGAAGUUGCUUGGGCAGCUCCCUGGUUCAUUAAGUACCAUA
Molecule: long non-coding RNA, 1149 nt
Organism: Dermochelys coriacea (leatherback sea turtle)
Lineage: Eukaryota; Metazoa; Chordata; Testudines; Dermochelyidae
Exons: 4
Source: RefSeq, a predicted model, not a curated record